Molecule: ribosomal RNA, 524 nt
Filed under: uncultured bacterium
Lineage: Bacteria
Description: bacterial SSU rRNA
Rfam family: Bacterial small subunit ribosomal RNA
Source: RNAcentral
AAUAGAUACCCAGGUAGUCCAUGCCGUAAACGAUGAGUACUAGCUGUCUGGGGUAUCGACUCCCUGGGUAGCGCAGCUAACGCGAUAAGUACUCCGCCUGGGGACUACGGCCGCAAGGCUAAAACUCAAAGGAAUUGACGGGGGCCCGCACAAGCAGCGGAGCGUGCGGUUUAAUUCGAAGCUACGCGAAGAACCUUACCAGGGCUUGACAUGACCCUGACCGCCGGUGAAAGCCGGUUUCCCUUCGGGGCAGGGCCACAGAUGCUGCAUGGCUGCCGUCAGCUCGUGCCGUGAGGUGUUGGGUUAAGUCCCGCAACGAGCGCAACCCUCGUCGUGUGUUGGAUUUCUCACACGAGACUGCCCGGAGCAACCGGGAGGAAGGCGGGGAGUGACGUCAAGUCAGCAUGGCUCUUACGUCCUGGGCUACUCGCACGCUACAAUGGGCAGUACAGACCGUUGCGAUACCGCGAGGUGGAGCUAAUCGGACAAAACUGUCCUCAGUACGGAUUGCAGGCUGCAACUCG